RNAcentral lists this ribosomal RNA (374 nucleotides) under uncultured organism. Its description in RNAcentral is "partial 16S ribosomal RNA". It matches the Rfam family "Bacterial small subunit ribosomal RNA", at positions 527 to 896 of the family's 1533-position model. The record is from RNAcentral.
GUAGGUGGCAAGCGUUGUCCGGAGUUAUUGGGCGUAAAGCGCGCGCAGGCGGGGUUUUUAAGUCUGAUGUGAAAGCCCACGGGCUCAACCGUGGAGGGUCAUUGGAAACUGGAGAACUUGAGUACAGAAGAGGAAAGCGGAAUUCCACGUGUAGCGGUGAAAUGCGUAGAGAUGUGGAGGAACACCAGUGGCGAAGGCGGCUUUCUGGUCUGUAACUGACGCUGAGGCGCGAAAGCGUGGGGAGCAAACAGGAUUAGAUACCCUGGUAGUCCACGCCGUAAACGAUGAGUGCUAAGUGUUAGGGGGGUUUCCGCCCCUUAGUGCUGCAGCUAACGCAUUAAGCACUCCGCCUGGGGAGUACGGCCGCAAGGCUG